AACUAUAAAUCUAACCAAAAACGCAGGGUCAUAAGUCAUAACUUCCGCUUGAGGUCAUAAACCCAGUACAUUUCUCGGCUUGAUUCCCGCCGGCGCGAUCAUGUACCGGUCUUCGAGCUCCGGCCGGCUCUCUCAGUCUUCCCCACGCUCGUCUCUAUUGCCUGCACGUUCCUCUCCGAAUCUCAAAUUAACGUUAGCCGGCGAGCUGCCCACGUACAACCCCCGAUCUUAUCUCUCCACGAAAGAGAGAGACCGGCUAAGAUUUGCGGAGAACGCCGUCCAUCUCAUCCCACUCAUACUCGUCUUGUCUGUUAUCGUAUUGUGGCUUUUCUCUGAUCCAGAUUCAGUUGUGAUGUGAAUGAUAGUAGAUUCAAUGGUGCAGUGGAAAGAGCAGAUUGUUAUCAAAGUUGGAGCUGGAGGACACUGACCAUAGAUUCAGUAGGUAAGGACUGUGCUGGAUGACAUAGAGGCCCUACUAUGCAUUUCGAUAGACUUCUUGUUUGUACUCUUUUACUACUUUGCUUCUUAUUGAGCUCAAAGGCUUAUUACACGGAGGAGUAGUAUAUGAUUCAUUGUUAUUAAAAACACAAUUUUUCUUUUACUUCCUUUGGAAAGUUUUGCCUUUGGGUUUUAGUAGCCAGAAAGAGGCGGGAAUCUAUAUACUCUCUCUGUAUCCAUCUUUUGUAGUUUGGAAGUCUAUGUACAGCUGCAAUAAUACUAAACCAAAUUGAAA
Molecule: long non-coding RNA, 733 nt
Organism: Ipomoea nil (Japanese morning glory)
Lineage: Eukaryota; Viridiplantae; Streptophyta; Magnoliopsida; Solanales; Convolvulaceae
Exons: 2
Source: RefSeq, a predicted model, not a curated record